Molecule: ribosomal RNA, 793 nt
Filed under: uncultured Mycobacterium sp.
Lineage: Bacteria; Bacillati; Actinomycetota; Actinomycetes; Mycobacteriales; Mycobacteriaceae
Description: bacterial SSU rRNA
Rfam family: Bacterial small subunit ribosomal RNA
Source: RNAcentral
UUACUGGGCGUAAAGAGCUCGUAGGUGGUUUGUCGCGUUGUUCGUGAAAUCUCACGGCUUAACUGUGAGCGUGCGGGCGAUACGGGCAGACUUGAGUACUGCAGGGGAGACUGGAAUUCCUGGUGUAGCGGUGGAAAGCGCAGAUAUCAGGAGGAACACCGGUGGCGAAGGCGGGUCUCUGGGCAGUAACUGACGCUGAGGAGCGAAAGCGUGGGGAGCGAACAGGAUUAGAUACCCUGGUAGUCCACGCCGUAAACGGUGGGUACUAGGUGUGGGUUUCCUUCCUUGGGAUCCGUGCCGUAGCUAACGCAUUAAGUACCCCGCCUGGGGAGUACGGCCGCAAGGCUAAAACUCAAAGAAAUUGACGGGGGCCCGCACAAGCGGCGGAGCAUGUGGAUUAAUUCGAUGCAACGCGAAGAACCUUACCUGGGUUUGACAUGCACAGGACGCCGGCAGAGAUGUCGGUUCCCUUGUGGCCUGUGUGCAGGUGGUGCAUGGCUGUCGUCAGCUCGUGUCGUGAGAUGUUGGGUUAAGUCCCGCAACGAGCGCAACCCUUGUCUCAUGUUGCCAGCGGGUAAUGCCGGGGACUCGUGAGAGACUGCCGGGGUCAACUCGGAGGAAGGUGGGGAUGACGUCAAGUCAUCAUGCCCCUUAUGUCCAGGGCUUCACACAUGCUACAAUGGCCGGUACAAAGGGCUGCGAUGCCGCGAGGUUAAGCGAAUCCUUUUAAAGCCGGUCUCAGUUCGGAUCGGGGUCUGCAACUCGACCCCGUGAAGUCGGAGUCGCUAGUAAU